ACGAACGCUGGCGGCGUGCCUAAUACAUGCAAGUAGAACGCUGAAGAGAGGAGCUUGCUCUUCUUGGAUGAGUUGCGAACGGGUGAGUAACGCGUAGGUAACCUGCCUUGUAGCGGGGGAUAACUAUUGGAAACGAUAGCUAAUACCGCAUAACAAUGGAUGACACAUGUCAUUUAUUUGAAAGGGGCAAUUGCUCCACUACAAGAUGGACCUGCGUUGUAUUAGCUAGUAGGUGAGGUAAUGGCUCACCUAGGCGACGAUACAUAGCCGACCUGAGAGGGUGAUCGGCCACACUGGGACUGAGACACGGCCCAGACUCCUACGGGAGGCAGCAGUAGGGAAUCUUCGGCAAUGGGGGCAACCCUGACCGAGCAACGCCGCGUGAGUGAAGAAGGUUUUCGGAUCGUAAAGCUCUGUUGUAAGUCAAGAACGGGUGUGAGAGUGGAAAGUUCACACUGUGACGGUAGCUUACCAGAAAGGGACGGCUAACUACGUGCCAGCAGCCGCGGUAAUACGUAGGUCCCGAGCGUUGUCCGGAUUUAUUGGGCGUAAAGCGAGCGCAGGCGGUUUGAUAAGUCUGAAGUUAAAGGCUGUGGCUCAACCAUAGUUCGCUUUGGAAACUGUCAAACUUGAGUGCAGAAGGGGAGAGUGGAAUUCCAUGUGUAGCGGUGAAAUGCGUAGAUAUAUGGAGGAACACCGGUGGCGAAAGCGGCUCUCUGGUCUGUAACUGACGCUGAGGCUCGAAAGCGUGGGGAGCGAACAGGAUUAGAUACCCUGGUAGUCCACGCCGUAAACGAUGAGUGCUAGGUGUUGGAUCCUUUCCGGGAUUCAGUGCCGCAGCUAACGCAUUAAGCACUCCGCCUGGGGAGUACGACCGCAAGGUUGAAACUCAAAGGAAUUGACGGGGGCCCGCACAAGCGGUGGAGCAUGUGGUUUAAUUCGAAGCAACGCGAAGAACCUUACCAGGUCUUGACAUCCCGAUGCUAUUUCUAGAGAUAGAAAGUUACUUCGGUACAUCGGUGACAGGUGGUGCAUGGUUGUCGUCAGCUCGUGUCGUGAGAUGUUGGGUUAAGUCCCGCAACGAGCGCAACCCCUAUUGUUAGUUGCCAUCAUUCAGUUGGGCACUCUAGCGAGACUGCCGGUAAUAAACCGGAGGAAGGUGGGGAUGACGUCAAAUCAUCAUGCCCCUUAUGACCUGGGCUACACACGUGCUACAAUGGUUGGUACAACGAGUUGCGAGUCGGUGACGGCGAGCUAAUCUCUUAAAGCCAAUCUCAGUUCGGAUUGUAGGCUGCAACUCGCCUACAUGAAGUCGGAAUCGCUAGUAAUCGCGGAUCAGCACGCCGCGGUGAAUACGUUCCCGGGCCUUGUACACACCGCCCGUCACACCACGAGAGUUUGUAACACCCGAAGUCGGUGAGGUAACCUUUUGGAGCCAGCCGCCUAAGGUGGGACAGAUGAUUGGGGUGAA
RNAcentral lists this ribosomal RNA (1471 nucleotides) under Streptococcus thermophilus. RNAcentral describes it as "bacterial SSU rRNA". It matches the Rfam family "Bacterial small subunit ribosomal RNA". Lineage: Bacteria; Bacillati; Bacillota; Bacilli; Lactobacillales; Streptococcaceae. The record is from RNAcentral.